AUUGAACGCUGGCGGCAUGCUUUACACAUGCAAGUCGGACGGCAGCACAGAGAAGCUUGCUUCUUGGGUGGCGAGUGGCGAACGGGUGAGUAACAUAUCGGAACGUACCGAGUAAUGGGGGAUAACUAAUCGAAAGAUUAGCUAAUACCGCAUAUUCUCUGAGGAGGAAAGCAGGGGACCUUCGGGCCUUGCGUUAUUCGAGCGGCCGAUAUCUGAUUAGCUAGUUGGUGGGGUAAAGGCCUACCAAGGCGACGAUCAGUAGCGGGUCUGAGAGGAUGAUCCGCCACACUGGGACUGAGACACGGCCCAGACUCCUACGGGAGGCAGCAGUGGGGAAUUUUGGACAAUGGGCGCAAGCCUGAUCCAGCCAUGCCGCGUGUCUGAAGAAGGCCUUCGGGUUGUAAAGGACUUUUGUCAGGGAAGAAAAGGCUGUCGCUAAUACCGACAGUUGAUGACGGUACCUGAAGAAUAAGCACCGGCUAACUACGUGCCAGCAGCCGCGGUAAUACGUAGGGUGCGAGCGUUAAUCGGAAUUACUGGGCGUAAAGCGAGCGCAGACGGUUACUUAAGCAGGAUGUGAAAUCCCCGGGCUUAACCUGGGAACUGCGUUCUGAACUGGGUGACUAGAGUGUGUCAGAGGGAGGUAGAAUUCCACGUGUAGCAGUGAAAUGCGUAGAGAUGUGGAGGAAUACCGAUGGCGAAGGCGGCCUCCUGGGAUGACACUGACGUUCAUGCUCGAAAGCGUGGGUAGCAAACAGG
This 759-nucleotide ribosomal RNA is filed under the name Neisseria subflava. RNAcentral's name for it is "bacterial SSU rRNA". It matches the Rfam family "Bacterial small subunit ribosomal RNA", at positions 28 to 776 of the family's 1533-position model. Lineage: Bacteria; Pseudomonadati; Pseudomonadota; Betaproteobacteria; Neisseriales; Neisseriaceae. The record is from RNAcentral.